RNAcentral lists this small nuclear RNA (104 nucleotides) under Vulpes vulpes (red fox). The record is from RNAcentral. Lineage: Eukaryota; Metazoa; Chordata; Mammalia; Carnivora; Canidae.
GUGCUCAAUUUGGCAGCACAUAUACUAAAAUUGGAGUGACACAGAGAUUAGCACAGCCCCUGUGUGAAGUUGACAUGCAGACUCCUGACGUGCUCCAUAUUUUC